Molecule: ribosomal RNA, 252 nt
Filed under: Triticum aestivum (bread wheat)
Lineage: Eukaryota; Viridiplantae; Streptophyta; Magnoliopsida; Poales; Poaceae
Description: partial small subunit ribosomal RNA
Source: RNAcentral
AUGCAGAGGCCGGUGAGCACCCCGUCGUUCCCCGUCUUCGCGGACGAGGAGGGGGCGGAGGACCUGGAGGCCAAGCCGGAGAAGGCGCCCGCCGUCCGGCCGUCGGCGGCCACGGAGCGGUCCGUCCACCUCGUGCCGCUCGUCGUCGUGCUCUGCUUCCUCGUCCUCUUCCUCUGCUCCCACGUCCCCUCCCCUUCUGAUAUGUCGAGCUUCGGAGGGAAGGCCGGGGGCCGGAAGCCCAAGCUGCUCUGA